GGCUCAGGACGAACGCUGGCGGCGUGCUUAACACAUGCAAGUCGAACGGUGAACCGGGCUUCGGCCCGGGGAUCAGUGGCGAACGGGUGCGUAACACGUGGGCAACCUGCCCCAGACACUGGGAUAACUCCGGGAAACCGGGGCUAAUACCGGAUACUCUCGCCCGAUCACAUGAUCGGUCGAGGAAAGCUCCGACGGUCUGGGAUGGGCCCGCGGCCUAUCAGCUUGUUGGUGGGGUAACGGCCUACCAAGGCGACGACGGGUAGCUGGUCUGAGAGGACGACCAGCCACACUGGAACUGAGACACGGUCCAGACUCCUACGGGAGGCAGCAGUGGGGAAUCUUGCGCAAUGGGCGAAAGCCUGACGCAGCGACGCCGCGUGGGGGAUGAAGGCCCUCGGGUCGUAAACCCCUUUCGGCAGGGACGAAGCGAACGUGACGGUACCUGCAGAAGAAGUCCCGGCUAACUACGUGCCAGCAGCCGCGGUAAGACGUAGGGGACGAGCGUUGUCCGGAUUCAUUGGGCGUAAAGAGCGCGUAGGCGGCCGCGCAAGUCGGAUGUGAAAACCCGGGGCUCAACCCCGGGCCUGCAUCCGAUACUGCGUGGCUAGAGGUAGGUAGGGGAGAUCGGAAUUCCUGGUGUAGCGGUGAAAUGCGCAGAUAUCAGGAGGAACACCGGUGGCGAAGGCGGAUCUCUGGGCCUUACCUGACGCUCAGGCGCGAAAGCUAGGGGAGCGAACAGGAUUAGAUACCCUGGUAGUCCUAGCCGUAAACGUUGGGUGCUAGGUGUGGGUGGACAUCAACCCCAUCCGUGCCGAAGCUAACGCAUUAAGCACCCCGCCUGGGGAGUACGGCCG
This 857-nucleotide ribosomal RNA is filed under the name uncultured bacterium. RNAcentral describes it as "bacterial SSU rRNA". It matches the Rfam family "Bacterial small subunit ribosomal RNA", at positions 21 to 888 of the family's 1533-position model. The record is from RNAcentral.